RNAcentral lists this ribosomal RNA (461 nucleotides) under Bacteroidetes bacterium 11B. RNAcentral's name for it is "bacterial SSU rRNA". It matches the Rfam family "Bacterial small subunit ribosomal RNA", at positions 18 to 478 of the family's 1533-position model. The record is from RNAcentral. Lineage: Bacteria; Pseudomonadati; Bacteroidota.
CCUGGCUCAGGAUGAACGCUAGCGGCAGGCUUAACACAUGCAAGUCGAGGGGUAGGGAAAGCUUGCUUUUCUGAGACCGGCGCACGGGUGCGUAACGCGUAUGCAAUCUACCUUUCACAAAGGGAUAGCCCAGAGAAAUUUGGAUUAAUACCUUAUAGUAUUAUAGAAUGGCAUCAUUUUAUAAUUAAAGAUUUAUCGGUGAAAGAUGAGCAUGCGUCCCAUUAGCUAGUUGGUAUGGUAACGGCAUACCAAGGCUACGAUGGGUAGGGGUCCUGAGAGGGAGAUCCCCCACACUGGUACUGAGACACGGACCAGACUCCUACGGGAGGCAGCAGUGAGGAAUAUUGGACAAUGGGCGCAAGCCUGAUCCAGCCAUGCCGCGUGCAGGAUGACGGUCCUAUGGAUUGUAAACUGCUUUUAUACAGGAAGAAACACCUCUACGUGUAGAGACUUGACGGUAC